RNAcentral lists this transfer RNA (80 nucleotides) under Ovis aries (sheep). It matches the Rfam family "tRNA". From Rfam's summary of the family: Transfer RNA (tRNA) molecules are approximately 80 nucleotides in length. Their secondary structure includes four short double-helical elements and three loops (D, anti-codon, and T loops). The record is from Rfam by way of RNAcentral. Lineage: Eukaryota; Metazoa; Chordata; Mammalia; Artiodactyla; Bovidae.
UCCCCAGUGGCUUAGUGGUAAAGAAUCUGCCUGCAAUGCAGAAGCUGCAGGAAAUGCAGGUUUGAUCCCUGGAUGGGGAA